RNAcentral lists this ribosomal RNA (767 nucleotides) under uncultured marine eukaryote. Its description in RNAcentral is "SSU rRNA". It matches the Rfam family "Eukaryotic small subunit ribosomal RNA", at positions 615 to 1383 of the family's 1831-position model. The record is from RNAcentral.
GCGGUUAAAAAGCUCGUAGUUGGAUCUCGGCAGGCAGGGGGUGGUUCGCUCUUCAGCGCUACUGCCCCAUUUGCCUGUGUGAUUGGCGGAGGUUUCGGGGUGCCCUUCAUUGAGUGACCCGGGGCGCCGUCAGGUUUACUUUGAAAAAAUUAGAGUGCUCAAAGCAGGCUUUCACGCUUGAAUAUUCGUGCAUGGAAUAAUGGAAUAGGAACUCGUUUCUAUUUUGUUGGUUUUCGGAAAUCGAGUUAAUGAUUAAUAGGGACAAUUGGGGGCAUUAGUAUUCAGACGACAGAGGUGAAAUUCUUGGACCGUCUGAAGACUAACUACUGCGAAAGCAUUUGCCAAGAGUGUUUUCAUUAAUCAAGAACGAAAGUUAGAGGUUCGAAGGCGAUCAGAUACCGCCCUAGUUCUAACCAUAAACGAUGCCAGCUAGCGAUCUGCCGAGUUAUUUUUGUAGGCUCUGCAGGAAGCUUUCGGGAAACCAAAGCUUUUGGGUUCCGGGGGAAGUAUGGUUGCAAAGCUGAAACUUAAAGGAAUUGACGGAAGGGCACCACCAGGAGUGGAGCCUGCGGCUUAAUUUGACUCAACACGGGAAAUCUCACCAGGCCCGGACACUGGAAGGAUUGACAGAUUGAGAGCUCUUUCUCGAUUCGGUGGGUGGUGGUGCAUGGCCGUUCUUAGUUGGUGGAGUGAUUUGUCUGGUUUAUUCCGAUAACGAACGAGACUCUGUCCCUGCUAAUAGUUGGCGUGUCCUUUGUGCACGUCAA